AUAUCUUCGUAACAUUAAGGACGGACCAACUAAGUUUUUUACGUGCUGUGGAGGAACGUGGUUUCCAUCUCAGGAGUCCCGGAUUUCCUAUUGCAAGAUUUCGAAAUUAAAUUAAAGCUGAUGUGAAAAAAAUCCACAGGGACUGAUAUUCUGGAGGAACACUUGAAUGCCUAUAGCCUCUUUUCAAUCAAGGAUUCUCCCACAACAAAACAAAUAACAC
This is a long non-coding RNA of Drosophila subpulchrella, 220 nucleotides long. RefSeq lists it as uncharacterized. The record is from RefSeq and is a predicted model, not a curated record. NCBI's taxonomy places the organism in Eukaryota, Metazoa, Arthropoda, Insecta, Diptera, Drosophilidae. The transcript is spliced from 3 exons.